This 116-nucleotide ribosomal RNA is filed under the name Natronobacillus azotifigens. Lineage: Bacteria; Bacillati; Bacillota; Bacilli; Caryophanales; Bacillaceae. The record is from RNAcentral.
UUUAGUGACAAUAGCGAAGAGGUCACACCUGUUCCCAUGCCGAACACAGCAGUUAAGCUCUUCAGCGCCGAUGGUAGUUGGAGCCUUGCCCCUGCAAGAGUAGGACGUCGCUAUGC